GGACCCGUAGCUCAGCUGGAUAGAGCACUUGGCUUCGAACCAAGGGGUCGGGGGUUCGAGUCCCUCCGGGUCUACCA
Molecule: transfer RNA, 77 nt
Filed under: Opitutaceae bacterium
Lineage: Bacteria; Pseudomonadati; Verrucomicrobiota; Opitutia; Opitutales; Opitutaceae
Description: tRNA-Arg
Rfam family: tRNA
About the family: Transfer RNA (tRNA) molecules are approximately 80 nucleotides in length. Their secondary structure includes four short double-helical elements and three loops (D, anti-codon, and T loops). Further hydrogen bonds mediate the characteristic L-shaped molecular structure. tRNAs have two regions of fundamental functional importance: the anti-codon, which is responsible for specific mRNA codon recognition, and the 3' end, to which the tRNAs corresponding amino acid is attached (by aminoacyl-tRNA synthetases). tRNAs cope with the degeneracy of the genetic code in two manners: having more than one tRNA (with a specific anti-codon) for a particular amino acid; and 'wobble' base-pairing, i.e. permitting non-standard base-pairing at the 3rd anti-codon position.
Source: RNAcentral